CCGCAAGGAUUCAGUGGCGAACGGGUGCGUAACACGUGAAGAAUUUGUCCAACGGCGGGGGAUAGCCGGCCCAACGGCCGGGUAAUACCGCGUACGACCUUUGAGGGGCAUCCCUCGAUGGUGAAAGCCGCAAGGCGCCGAUGGAGAACUUCGCGGCCUAUCAGCUAGUUGGUGAGGUCAUGGCUCACCAAGGCGACGACGGGUAGCUGGUCCGAGGGGAUGACCAGCCACAUUGGGACUGAGACACGGCCCAGACUCCUACGGGAGGCAGCAGUGGGGAAUAUUGCGCAAUGGGCGAAAGCCUGACGCAGCGACGCUGCGUGUGGGAUGACGGCCUUCGGGUUGUAAACCACUGUCGCGAGGGACGAAGCUCUGACGGUACCUCGAAAGGAAGCACCGGCUAACUCUGUGCCAGCAGCCGCGGUAAUACAGAGGGUGCGAGCGUUGUCCGGAAUCACUGGGCGUAAAGGGCGCGUAGGUGGCCUGAUAAGUAGGGGGUGAAAUCUCGAGGCUCAACUUCGAGGCUGCCUCCUAAACUGUCGGGCUUGAGCAGAGUAGAGGCAGGUGGAAUUCCCGGUGUAGCGGUGGAAUGCGUAGAGAUCGGGAAGAACAUCGGUGGCGAAGGCGGCCUGCUGGGCUCUUGCUGACACUGA
This 653-nucleotide ribosomal RNA is filed under the name uncultured Gemmatimonadota bacterium. Its description in RNAcentral is "bacterial SSU rRNA". It matches the Rfam family "Bacterial small subunit ribosomal RNA", at positions 82 to 749 of the family's 1533-position model. The record is from RNAcentral. Lineage: Bacteria; Pseudomonadati; Gemmatimonadota.